Molecule: non-coding RNA, 241 nt
Organism: Pelobates cultripes (western spadefoot toad)
Lineage: Eukaryota; Metazoa; Chordata; Amphibia; Anura; Pelobatidae
Source: the annotation of a GenBank genome assembly
GUGGGAAGAGGUUUAAAAGAGCAGUGAGGGGAGAGGAGAAACCCAACACCACCACCUUUACAUUCAGAGUUUCUUGGGUUGUGGGUAAGUUGGAGACCACCGAAGGACAAAGAUGCAGGGGUGGCAGUGUCAGAGGGGGAGAGCCAGGUUUCUGUUAAGGCUAGUAAAUCUAUUGAAUGAGAGAUGAAGAAGUCAUGGACAGCAGUGGAUUUAGUUAUAUUGCAAACAGAGCGUGUGUUCC